GAUGAACGCUGACAGCAUGCUUAACACAUGCGAGUCUACCUGAAAGUGGGUUUUUUAACUUAGAUUUGGGUGGCGGCCGGGUGAGUAACGCGUAAAGAACUUGCCUCACAGAUAGGGACGACAUUUUGAAAAGACCGCUAAUACCUGAGAAUAUGAUUAUAAGGCAUCUUAGAAUUAUGAAAGAUAUAUGCGCUUUGAGAGAUCUUUGCGUCCCAUGAGCUAGUUGGAGAGGUAACGUCUCACCAAGGUGAUGAUGGGUAGCCGGCCUGGGAGGGUGAACGGCCACAAGGGCACUGAGGAGCGGCCCUUACUCCUACGGGAGGCAGGAGUGGGAAAUAUUGGGCAAUGGACCAAGAGUCUGAUCCAGCAAUUCUGUGUGCACGAUGACGUUUUUCGGAAUGUAAAGAGCUUUCAGUUGGUAAGAAAAAAAUGACGGUACCAACAGAAGAAGUGACGGCUAAAUACGUG
Molecule: ribosomal RNA, 468 nt
Filed under: uncultured bacterium
Lineage: Bacteria
Description: partial 16S ribosomal RNA
Rfam family: Bacterial small subunit ribosomal RNA
Source: RNAcentral